RNAcentral lists this ribosomal RNA (770 nucleotides) under Ralstonia sp. enrichment culture. RNAcentral's name for it is "bacterial SSU rRNA". It matches the Rfam family "Bacterial small subunit ribosomal RNA", at positions 23 to 822 of the family's 1533-position model. Lineage: Bacteria; Pseudomonadati; Pseudomonadota; Betaproteobacteria; Burkholderiales; Burkholderiaceae. The record is from RNAcentral.
CUCAGAAUCAACGCUGGCGGCGUGCCUAACACAUGNAAGUCGCACGAGAAAGCGGACUUCGGUCUGUAAGUACAGUGGCGCACGGGUGAGUAACACGUGAAUAAUCUACCUUCGAGUGGGGAAUAACUGGGAGAAAUCUCAGCUAAUACCGCAUAACACCUACGGGUCAAAGCAGCAAUGCGCUUGAAGAGGAGUUCGCGGCAGAUUAGUUAGUUGGCGGGGUAAUGGCCCACCAAGACGAUGAUCUGUAUCCGGCCUGAGAGGGCGCACGGACACACUGGAACUGAAACACGGUCCAGACUCCUACGGGAGGCAGCAGUGGGGAAUUUUGCGCAAUGGGGGAAACCCUGACGCAGCAACGCCGCGUGGAGGAUGAAAUCCCUUGGGAUGUAAACUCCUUUCGAUCGGGACGAUUAUGACGGUACCGAUAGAAGAAGCCCCGGCUAACUUCGUGCCAGCAGCCGCGGUAAUACGAGGGGGGCAAGCGUUGUUCGGAAUUAUUGGGCGUAAAGGGCGCGUAGGCGGUUUGACAAGUCUGAUGUGAAAUCUAUGGGCUCAACCCAUAGCCUGCAUUAGAAACUGUCGGGCUUGAGUAUGGGAGAGGUGAGUGGAAUUUCCGGUGUAGCGGUGAAAUGCGUAGAUAUCGGAAGGAACACCUGUGGCGAAAGCGGCUCACUGGACCAUAACUGACGCUGAGGCGCGAAAGCUAGGGGAGCAAACAGGAUUAGAUANCCUGGNUAGUCCUAGCCCUAAACGAUGAUUGCUUGGUG